Non-coding RNA from Pelobates cultripes (western spadefoot toad), 72 nucleotides. The record is from the annotation of a GenBank genome assembly. Lineage: Eukaryota; Metazoa; Chordata; Amphibia; Anura; Pelobatidae.
AGUGUGUGUGUGUGUGUGUGUCUGUUAGUGUGUGUCUGCACACACUAACAGUCACACACACACACUCACUAA